AGAAAAACUAGCCUGUUCAACAGUGUUAUAUGCAGUGAGCAAGCUACUGAUCGUAUUCCUUAUGCCAUUGAACUUAUCUGCUUAGAGGAAUCCACUUCAAUUUCUCUACUAUUCAACCAGAAAAUCACAGAACCUGAACAAAAUCCCAGGGAAAAUGGGGGAAGGGGAGAUAUACCUGACGAGGAAGGGAUUGAUGGGCCUCUCCUGCUUGUGCUUGGCUUGGCCCAAAGCCACGGCAGCACCGGAGGGGAAGAGCUCGGCUCUGGGGAUCUUGUGGCUGCUUACCCCUCUAAGCAAUCACUUGCUAGAGGGAGACGAUUAGGAAGGUGUGGAUUGGGAGUCAUGAAAGUUGGUGGAGGUGGAUUGGGAGGAGGGGCUGCGUGGUUGUCAGAACCUGGGAUGGAAAUGGAGGUCAUCUGA
RNAcentral lists this long non-coding RNA (420 nucleotides) under Oryza sativa tropical japonica subgroup. RNAcentral describes it as "lncRNA OsCMeo_11g0011640". Lineage: Eukaryota; Viridiplantae; Streptophyta; Magnoliopsida; Poales; Poaceae. RNAcentral also lists the same sequence under 1 other name. The record is from RNAcentral.